CCGUUGUCUUCGGCCGACUACCGGCGCCGUGUCCCGUCACUCUUGUGGCAUUGUCCCGAUGGAUUGAACCUGUGGCUUGCGUGCUAGUACCCGACCUAUGGGAAGUGGUGCUUCAUAUAAUUGUUGCCUCACGAUGGACGCCCUUUGGGUGUGCCAUUGUGACCGAAUAGCGCUUGCGGCGUUGCCUCGUACAACAUCCAUAUAUUGUGCAUGUUGAUAUCACGGCAACCUCGCUCUCGCUUUUGGUCUAGGAUGCUGCUCACGAUAAAGGCUCGAGGCCCUUCGGGUUGCCUCGAUCCGAAACAAUGUUCUCUCUCCGAAAUGGCGAUAACCGGGUACAUGUCUUGCCUCUACCUCUCCACAGUUACGUGGUAGGAUACGCAACCCUAUGAUCCGGCCCUCAUGGAGGAGGAGACAUGCUCUCUCCGAAAUGGCGAUAACCGGGUACAURUSUUGCCUCUACCUCUCCACAGUUACGUGGUAGGGAUACGCAACCCUAUGAUCCGGCCCUCAUGGAGGAUGAGACAUGCCCGCUCAAAAGCGACAACUGGCUCGGCUGUUGCAUUUGUCUUUCCACGCAAGUGGAAUUGCAGGGUAACUACCGACGCUGGACGUCACCAAGAACUUGCU
RNAcentral lists this unclassified non-coding RNA (630 nucleotides) under Bromus berteroanus. RNAcentral describes it as "partial external transcribed spacer". Lineage: Eukaryota; Viridiplantae; Streptophyta; Magnoliopsida; Poales; Poaceae. The record is from RNAcentral.